AGAGUUUGAUCCUGGCUCAGAUUGAACGCUGGCGGUAUGCUUAACACAUGCAAGUCGAACGGAAACGAAACUAGCUUGCUAGUAGGCGUCGAGUGGCGGACGGGUGAGUAACGCGUAGGAAUCUGCCUGAUAGUGGGGGAUAGCCCGAAGAAAUUCGGAUUAAUACCGCAUAAUCUAUUCGUAGUAAAGUGGGGGACUUUCGAGCCUCACGCUAUCAGAUGAGCCUGCGUAAGAUUAGCUUGUUGGUAGGGUAAAAGCCUACCAAGGCAACGAUCUUUAGCUGGUCUGAGAGGAUGAUCAGCCACAUCGGGACUGAGACACGGCCCGAACUCCUACGGGAGGCAGCAGUGGGGAAUAUUGGACAAUGGGGGCAACCCUGAUCCAGCAAUACCGCGUGUGUGAAGAAGGCCUGAGGGUUGUAAAGCACUUUCAAUUGUGAAGAAAAGUUAACGGUUAAUAACCGUUGACCUUGACGUUAACUUUAUAAGAAGCACCGGCUAACUCCGUGCCAGCAGCCGCGGUAAUACGGAGGGUGCAAGCGUUAAUCGGAAUUACUGGGCGUAAAGCGUGCGUAGGCGGUUUGUUAAGUCAGGUGUGAAAGCCCCGGGCUUAACCUGGGAACUGCAUUUGAAACUGGUCAACUAGAGUAUGGUAGAGGAAAGUGGAAUUUCUGGUGUAGCGGUGAAAUGCGUAGAUAUCAGAAGGAACAUCAAUGGCGAAGGCAGCUUUCUGGACCAAUACUGACGCUGAGGUACGAAAGCGUGGGUAGCAAACAGGAUUAGAUACCCUGGUAGUCCACGCCGUAAACGAUGAUAACUAGCCGUUGGGGGGAUUUACCCCUUAGUGGCGAAGCUAACGCGUUAAGUUAUCCGCCUGGGGAGUACGGCCGCAAGGCUAAAACUCAAAGGAAUUGACGGGGACCCGCACAAGCGGUGGAGCAUGUGGUUUAAUUCGAUGCAACGCGAAGAACCUUGCCUGGUCUUGACAUCCUGCGAACUUUCUAGAAAUAGAUUGGUGCCUUCGGGAACGCAGUGACAGGUGCUGCAUGGCUGUCGUCAGCUCGUGUCGUGAGAUGUUGGGUUAAGUCCCGUAACGAGCGCAACCCCUAUCCUUAUUUGCCAGCACAUUAUGGUGGGAACUAUAAGGAGACUGCCGGGGUCAACUCGGAGGAAGGUGGGGACGACGUCAAGUCAUCAUGCCCCUUAUAUCCAGGGCUGCAAACAUGCUACAAUGGCCGGUACAGAGGGCAGCAAAACCGCGAGGUUGAGCGAAUCCCACAAAGCCGGUCUCAGUUCGGAUUGGAGUCUGCAGCUCGACUCCAUGAAGGCGGAGUCGCUAGUAAUCCCGGAUCAGCAACGCCGGGGUGAAUACGUUCCCGGGCCUUGUACACACCGCCCGCCACACCACGAAAGUCAGCAACACCCGAAGUCAGUGGCCUAACUCUUAGGAGAAGGAGCUGCCGAAGGUGGGGUCGGCGAUUGGGGUGAAGUCGUAACAAGGUAACC
RNAcentral lists this ribosomal RNA (1505 nucleotides) under uncultured Gammaproteobacteria bacterium. Its description in RNAcentral is "partial 16S ribosomal RNA". It matches the Rfam family "Bacterial small subunit ribosomal RNA". Lineage: Bacteria; Pseudomonadati; Pseudomonadota; Gammaproteobacteria. The record is from RNAcentral.